AUACGUAGGGUGCGAGCGUUGUCCGGAAUUACUGGGCGUAAAGAGCUCGUAGGUGGUUUGUCGCGUCGUCUGUGAAAUUCCGGGGCUUAACUCCGGGCGUGCAGGCGAUACGGGCAUAACUUGAGUACUGUAGGGGAGACUGAAAUUCCUGGUGUAGCGGUGAAAUGCGCAGAUAUCAGGAGGAACACCGGUGGCGAAGGCGGGUCUCUGGGCAGUAACUGACGCUGAGGAGCGAAAGCAUGGGUAGCGAACAGGAUUAGAUACCCUGGUAGUCCAUGCCGUAAACGGGGGGCGCUAGGUGUAGGGGUCUUCCACGACUUCUGUGCCGUAGCUAACGCAUUAAGCGCCCCGCCUGGGGAGUACGGCCGCAAGGCUAAAACUCAAAUGAAUUGACGGGG
RNAcentral lists this ribosomal RNA (398 nucleotides) under uncultured bacterium. Its description in RNAcentral is "partial 16S ribosomal RNA". It matches the Rfam family "Bacterial small subunit ribosomal RNA", at positions 523 to 918 of the family's 1533-position model. The record is from RNAcentral.